This 858-nucleotide small RNA is filed under the name Pongo abelii (Sumatran orangutan). Its description in RNAcentral is "pseudogene". Lineage: Eukaryota; Metazoa; Chordata; Mammalia; Primates; Hominidae. The record is from RNAcentral.
AUGACUGGAACCCUGGAGAGAGAGAACCGGAUUUCUGGAGGAAAAUUAUUCGUUUUAAGGAAGCAGCAUCCUGGACCCUUGAGGCCCUGGAGGAAGCGGGCAGCACAGCUCGGAGGCGGGUGUGGCUGGAGGACGGCCGUGGCACCUGCGAAAUUCUCUCUGUGGUACGUGGCUGCUUCCUGGCUCUGGGAACCACCUGAACACUUGCAUUCUUCCCUUUUCCUUUCUAUUCUCUUUCAAGCCACCCUCCUUGAGCCAGCCCACCAGUCCAGGCCAAAUCUCAGCCUGCCCUUGGUCCGCUGUGGCUGGGCCUGCACCCGAGCCAUGAGCACACGCAGCGACUGUGGCAGCUGAAGCUCCUCCGGGCUCAGACUCAGGCUGAUGCUGCGUCAGGACCUGCCGUGGCCUCGGCUGGGCUUCCUGGGACUCGGUGGUUGUGGGCUGAUUGUAAAGCCUGGAAUGACUCUUAGAAACUGGGCGUCAUUCUUUGUGGUUUUCCAAGCUUGGUCUCUGAUGAUGCUCCAGGUCUUAGGAGACAUGCUGAAUAUUUAUUAUGCUUACAUUCAAGCAACAGUAACCCUUAAAGUUGAUGUAGCUCCCCGUCUUUUUUUCUCAGAAGGAGGAGAACUGACGGAACAUUUUUCCAGUAUGGAUUCUUUCCAGCUCUGAGAAGCUGGAGGCACAUGGAUCCCUCGGCCAGCUCCCAUCUAUGGACGUGCUGUAGUCACAAGGACUGUGACAAAGGCUCAGUCCCUGAGGAGUGCCUUGGCAUGGGCUGCUUUAGGCUGUAAAUACCCGGUUUUAUCCACUUUAUGUGAAGAAAGCCAACAAGGGGCAUGGAGUGUGUUCCGCAGGUUU